AACGAGCGCUGGCGGCAUGCCUAACACAUGCAAGUCGAACGAGACCUUCGGGUCUAGUGGCGCACGGGUGCGUAACGCGUGGGAACCUGCCCUUAGGUUCGGAAUAACUCCCCGAAAGGGGUGCUAAUACCGGAUAAUGUCUUCGGACCAAAGAUUUAUCGCCUUUGGAUGGGCCCGCGUUGGAUUAGCUAGUUGGUAGGGUAAAAGCCUACCAAGGCGACGAUCCAUAGCUGGUCUGAGAGGAUGAUCAGCCACACUGGGACUGAGACACGGCCCAGACUCCUACGGGAGGCAGCAGUGGCGAAUAUUGGACAAUGGGCGAAAGCCUGAUCCAGCAAUGCCGCGUGAGUGAUGAAGGCCUUAGGGUUGUAAAGCUCUUUUACCCGGGAUGAUAAUGACAGUACCGGGAGAAUAAGCUCCGGCUAACUCCGUG
RNAcentral lists this ribosomal RNA (433 nucleotides) under uncultured bacterium. RNAcentral describes it as "partial 16S ribosomal RNA". It matches the Rfam family "Bacterial small subunit ribosomal RNA", at positions 29 to 507 of the family's 1533-position model. The record is from RNAcentral.